UGGGGAAUAUUGCACAAUGGAGGGAACUCUGAUGCAGCGACGCCGCGUGAACGAAGAAGGCUUCCGAGUCGUAAAGUUCUUUUAUAUGGGAAGAUAAUGACGGUACCAUAAGAAAAAGCCCCGGCUAACUACGUGCCAGCAGUCGCGGUAAUACGUAGGGGGCUAGCGUUGUCCGGAAUCACUGGGCGUAAAGGGUUCGCAGGCGGAAAUGCAAGUCAGGUGUAAAAGGCAGUAGCUUAACUACUGUAAGCAUUUGAAACUGCAUAUCUUGAGAAGAGUAGAGGUAAGUGGAAUUUUUAGUGUAGCGGUGAAAUGCGUAGAUAUUAAAAAGAAUAACGGUGGCGAAGGCGACUUACUGGGCUAAUUCUGACGCUGAGGAACGAAAGCGUGGGUAGCAAACAGG
Molecule: ribosomal RNA, 403 nt
Filed under: Fusobacteriota bacterium
Lineage: Bacteria; Fusobacteriati; Fusobacteriota
Description: Fusobacteria bacterium partial 16S ribosomal RNA
Rfam family: Bacterial small subunit ribosomal RNA
Source: RNAcentral